UCCGGUUUCUCAAGGUCAAACUCCCUGGUCUUGUAAGUCAACAUACCUCUAUAAUUUUUUAGGCUAAUGAGUUCUUAUGAAUAUUGUUGACUGUUUUUAAUAAUAGAUAAUUUUUUAAUUGUUUCAUCUUUCUUUUGUCCAAGUAAUCUAUAGUGAUUACUUUCUUUUUUAAUAGUUCUGGGUAUUUCUUUUUUUAAUACUUUCUUUUGUCAAACAUCUUACUUGCCUAGAUGUCACGUUAAGUAUUAUUUAUUUCUUUAAUUAUUUUUAUUGUUACACUAAAUAAAGAGAAGUUAAGUUUUCAGUUUUACAGAAACAUUUACUUUUGCCCUUUGGCUACUGAAGUAAUAUGAUAAUUUGUAAACCUCUUUUUUUUCUCUAUGGGAUACUAAAUUGUAGAAAAUGACAACUUAACUGUCUAUUUUGCAGAUUGAUGUAGGCAUUGGAUCUUCAUCAUUUGCAAGAGGUGUCAUUGACCUUGUCUUGGGAUAUGUCACAAGCUUGGUGAUUGACCUGGCUAUUUCGAUAGAGGAAAGCCUUAACGUACAUGGUGGGGCUGUAUCAUUGGGACACCCAUUAGGAAGCAGUGGAGCUCGUAUCUUGGUCACAUUGUUAGGGGUAUUGAGACAUAAAAAGGGAAAGUACGGGGUUGGUGCCAUAUGCAACGGUGGCGGGGGAGCUUCUUCACUUGUUCUUGAGCUCCUGUAAGACCUGUAAUUGUUUUUGAGCUUAUCUUGAUUGAAUUCUCCUGAUCGGCUAGCCAGCUUAUAAAUAAAGCUAAUUGGCUAACCCAAUUGUACUCAUCACUUGGUUCAUUUUCAAUAAUAAGAAUCAAUUUCUCAUUAUUCUCUCAUUUUUAAUAUGUG
Long non-coding RNA from Humulus lupulus (European hop), 866 nucleotides. RefSeq lists it as uncharacterized. The transcript has 3 exons. NCBI's taxonomy places the organism in Eukaryota, Viridiplantae, Streptophyta, Magnoliopsida, Rosales, Cannabaceae. The record is from RefSeq and is a predicted model, not a curated record.